UGGGGAAUAUUGCACAAUGGGCGCAAGCCUGAUGCAGCCAUGCCGCGUGUAUGAAGAAGGCCUUCGGGUUGUAAAGUACUUUCAGCGGGGAGGAAGGUGUUGAGGCUAAUAACCUCAGCAAUUGACGUUACCCGCAGAAGAAGCACCGGCUAACUCCGUGCCAGCAGCCGCGGUAAUACGGAGGGUGCAAGCGUUAAGCGGAAUUACUGGGCGUAAAGCGCACGCAGGCGGUCUGUCAAGUCGGAUGUGAAAUCCCCGGGCUCAACCUGGGAACUGCAUUCGAAACUGGCAGGCUAGAGUCUUGUAGAGGGGGGUAGAAUUCCAGGUGUAGCGGUGAAAUGCGUAGAGAUCUGGAGGAAUACCGGUGGCGAAGGCGGCCCCCUGGACAAAGACUGACGCUCAGGUGCGAAAGCGUGGGGAGCAAACA
RNAcentral lists this ribosomal RNA (427 nucleotides) under uncultured bacterium. RNAcentral describes it as "partial 16S ribosomal RNA". It matches the Rfam family "Bacterial small subunit ribosomal RNA", at positions 355 to 774 of the family's 1533-position model. The record is from RNAcentral.